RNAcentral lists this transfer RNA (71 nucleotides) under Haemonchus placei. It matches the Rfam family "tRNA". Rfam says of the family: Transfer RNA (tRNA) molecules are approximately 80 nucleotides in length. Their secondary structure includes four short double-helical elements and three loops (D, anti-codon, and T loops). The record is from Rfam by way of RNAcentral. Lineage: Eukaryota; Metazoa; Nematoda; Chromadorea; Rhabditida; Trichostrongylidae.
GCAUUGCUGGUUCAGUGGCAAAAUGCUCCUUUGCUGAGCGGGUGGCCCGGGUUCGAUUCUCGGCCGAUGCA